AAGGAUCAUUAAAGAGUAAGGGUCUCCGGCCCGAACCUCCAACCCUUUGUUGUUAAAACUACCUUGUUGCUUUGGCGGGACCGUUCGGUCUCGAGCGCACCGGUUUCUCCAUUUCGAGGAUUGGUGAGCGCCCGCCAGAGUCAAACCAAACUCUUGUAUUAAACCAGUCGUCUGAGUAUAAAAUUUUAAUUUAAUUAAAACUUUCAACAACGGAUCUCUUGGUUCUCGCAUCGAUGAAGAACGCAGCGAAAUGCGAUAAGUAAUGUGAAUUGCAGAAUUCAGUGAAUCAUCGAAUCUUUGAACGCACAUUGCGCCCCUUGGUAUUCCGAGGGGCAUGCCUGUUCGAGCGUCAUUACACCACUCAAGCACUGCUUGGUAUUGGGCACCCGUCCGCCGAAAGGCGGGCGUGCCUCGAAGACCUCGGCGGGGCCUAACCGGCUUCGGGCGUAGUAGAGUUAAAUCAAAACGUCUUAUAAGUCUGGUUAGAACCCAUUGCCGUAAAACCUUUUUAUUUUCUAGGUUGACCUCGGAUCAGGUAGGGAUACCCGCUGAACUUAA
RNAcentral lists this ribosomal RNA (558 nucleotides) under Rhizosphaera kalkhoffii. RNAcentral's name for it is "eukaryotic LSU rRNA". The stretch from base 199 to 352 matches the Rfam family "5.8S ribosomal RNA". The record is from RNAcentral. Lineage: Eukaryota; Fungi; Ascomycota; Dothideomycetes; Dothideales; Dothideaceae.